CGAAUUCAAGAUCGAUUUUCGAAAAGGAUCGAAACACGAGGAUCUUCUGGAAUUCAGAAUUGAGACCGAAUCCAUGUGCUGGAGAGGCGCAUCGAGAGGCGAAUUGAUCACCAAUUAAACGGGCACGAUUGUUAAUCGUAGUCACUCUCUCGACUAUGAUCCAACCGAGUACGUCACUCGUACACUCGAAAACGAUGGGUAACCGUCACUUUGACCGACCGAGUAAUUACGUACGCUGUCACUUCUCACUUUAUUGGACACUAAUUUCUGGCCCGCUCAACAACCCGCUUCAAUCAACCAGAAUUGCACACUGUGUGUAACACAUUUUCUACACAUAUAUACGAGCUACUUGUUGAUCGACACUUGAACAGCAAGCAAGCAAGCAAGCAAACAAGCACCAUAGAAACGGUAGAAACUUCAAACACGUCACAGGAUUGAUCCACUUCCCUUUUCAAACUCGUCGAUUGAUAAUUCCAUCUGUCCACGAUAAAUAUCGAUUGGAUCGAUCAAUGGUUGCGAAGGAUAUAUUUAUUAUGUUUCGACGAGGUAAUGGAUGAUUAAUCGAGGAGGACGAUGUUGUCACGGAUUGUAUUAUGGCCGAGUUGUAAACGCGCCCAUUCAUGGAACACUCUCGGUCUGAGGGACCGGGCGAGACUGGCGGAAGAAACGCGCGCGUGCCGCUUGGGAACACAUAGGGAACGCGGAACGCAUGUCAAAAUGAAAUGUCUAGAGGGAAGGUAUACACAACAUCCUUGCGAAGGAUCUUGAAAAUUUCUCUCUUUAACUGAUUGGAUGAUGGGAUUGGAAAUUCACGGGAUUCGCCGAAGGGACGAAGGGACGAAGGGAAAGAAAAAUUUCGAGGAAUUGAGGAGGAAAUAUUGAAAUCGAUGGAAUUUAAAAAUACGUAAAGUUUGACGUUUUUUGAGUGACGUGUAUCUGAGAGUAUCUGAAGGUAACAGUUAAUGGAGAGAGUGGAGGGGGGAGGGGAAAAGAAAAAUGUUGAAAACUUGAGUUUACCAAGAACUGUGUUCAAUAAAAUAUGGAAUAUGUUGUUUCUUUUUAUACAAUUGUAAGUAUUGAAAGUAGGGAAAAUGUAUGGUGUUGUAUUGAUAGAAGUUUUUAAAUAAAGCGAGUGUAAUUA
Long non-coding RNA from Apis dorsata (giant honeybee), 1141 nucleotides. RefSeq lists it as uncharacterized. The record is from RefSeq and is a predicted model, not a curated record. Lineage: Eukaryota; Metazoa; Arthropoda; Insecta; Hymenoptera; Apidae. The transcript has 2 exons.